Molecule: ribosomal RNA, 2498 nt
Filed under: Clostridioides difficile
Lineage: Bacteria; Bacillati; Bacillota; Clostridia; Peptostreptococcales; Peptostreptococcaceae
Description: bacterial LSU rRNA
Rfam family: Bacterial large subunit ribosomal RNA (bases 1110-2498)
Source: RNAcentral
AUAUGCGGGUGUAGCUCAAUGGUAGAGUUCUGGCCUUCCAAGCCAGCUGUGAGGGUUCGAUCCCCUUCACCCGCUCCAAAAAUGGGACCAUAGCUCAGCUGGGAGAGCACCUGCCUUACAAGCAGGGGGUCACAGGUUCGAGCCCUGUUGGUCCCACCAUUUGCGGCCUGGUAGUUCAGUUGGUUAGAAUGCCAGCCUGUCACGCUGGAGGUCGAGGGUUCGAGCCCCUUCCAGGUCGCCAAAAUAAAAUGCUGGUGUGGCUCAACGGUAGAGCAGCUGACUUGUAAUCAGCAGGUUGUAGGUUCGAUUCCUAUCACCAGCUCCAUAUAAAAUUAAUACGGAGGAUUUCCCGAGCGGCCAAAGGGGGCAGACUGUAAAUCUGUUGUCAUCGACUUCGGUGGUUCGAAUCCACCAUCCUCCACCAAAAAAAUGCGCGGAUGUGGCGGAAUUGGCAGACGCACUAGACUUAGGAUCUAGCGCCAUUGGCGUGGGGGUUCGACUCCCUUCAUCCGCACCAUUUUUGUUUGAUAUACAUAUAUAAAUUGUGGGUGCAUAGCUCAGCUGGAUAGAGCAACGCCCUUCUAAGGCGUGUGUCCGGGGUUCAGUCGCGGAUAGAUCACCAAUGGAGAGGUGGGAUUAGCCAAGUCGGUAAGGCACAUGACUUUGACUCAUGUAUGCGUAGGUUCGAGUCCUGCAUCCCCAGCCAAAUGAUGUAUUACUAAGCUAUAUUUGAAUUAUUUUUAUUUUAAAUAUAGUUAGGUUCAAUUUUAGAAUAAGUUUAAGUAUCCGAAUGUGGAGAGGUGUCCGAGUGGUUUAAGGAGCUGGUCUUGAAAACCAGUGACUUCGAAAGGGGCCGUGGGUUCGAAUCCCACCCUCUCCGCCAAAUGCCCAGAUAGCUCAGUCGGUAGAGCAGGGGACUGAAAAUCCCCGUGUCGGUGGUUCGAUUCCGCCUCUGGGCACCAAAAUAUGGCGGUAUAGCUUAGUUGGCUAGAGCGUUCGGUUCAUACCCGAAAGGUCAUAGGUUCGACUCCUAUUACCGCUACUAAAAUUUAAUGUGGGCCAUUAGCUCAGUUGGUUAGAGCGCCCGGCUCAUAACCGGUAGGUCUGGGGUUCGAGUCCCUGAUGGCCCACCACAUUAAAUUAAUUAAUAUAAAUUCGAGGUGUAGCGCAGUUUGGUAGCGCACAUGGUUUGGGACCAUGGGGCCGGGGGUUCGAGUCCCUUCACCUCGACCAAUAUAAGGUGGGUAUAGCUCAGUUGGUUAGAGCGCCAGAUUGUGGCUCUGGAGGUCGUGAGUUCGACUCUCAUUAUCCACCCCAAUUCAUAUGGUCUAUUAGCUCAGUCGGUAGAGCACCUGACUUUUAAUCAGGGUGUCCCGCGUUCGAGUCGCGGAUAGAUCACCAAAAAGGUGGCGACAUAGCCAAGUGGUAAGGCAGUGGACUGCAACUCCUUGAUCCCCAGUUCGAAUCNNNNNAAUCGAAGCAGUGAACUUAAGCCCCAGUAAACGGCGGCCGUAACUAUAACGGUCCUAAGGUAGCGAAAUUCCUUGUCGGGUAAGUUCCGACCCGCACGAAAGGCGUAACGAUUUGGGCACUGUCUCAACAACAGACUCGGUGAAAUUGUAAUUCCGGUGAAGAUGCCGGAUACCUGCGACAGGACGGAAAGACCCCAUGGAGCUUUACUGUAGCUUGACAUUGGGUCUUGGUACUACAUGUACAGGAUAGGUGGGAGGCUUUGAAACCAGGACGCCAGUUUUGGCGGAGCCAUCCUUGGGAUACCACCCUUGUAGUACUGGGACUCUAACCAUAGGCCAUGAAUCUGGUCUUGGGACACUGUCAGGUGGGCAGUUUGACUGGGGCGGUCGCCUCCCAAAAGGUAACGGAGGCGCUCAAAGGUUCUCUCAGUACGGUCGGAAAUCGUACGUAGAGUGUAAAGGCAAAAGAGAGCUUGAUUGCAAGACAUACAGGUCGAGCAAGGAUGAAAAUCGGACUUAGUGAUCCGGUGGUUCUGCGUGGAAGGGCCAUCGCUCAACGGAUAAAAGCUACCCUGGGGAUAACAGGCUUAUCUCCCCCAAGAGUCCACAUCGACGGGGAGGUUUGGCACCUCGAUGUCGGCUCAUCACAUCCUGGGGCUGUAGUAGGUCCCAAGGGUUGGGCUGUUCGCCCAUUAAAGUGGUACGCGAGCUGGGUUCAGAACGUCGUGAGACAGUUCGGUCCCUAUCCGUCGCAGGCGUAGGAAAUUUGAGAAGACCUGUCCUUAGUACGAGAGGACCGGGAUGGACGUACCUCUGGUGUACCAGUUGUCCUGCCAAGGGCAUGGCUGGGUAGCUAUGUACGGAAUGGAUAAGCGCUGAAAGCAUCUAAGCGCGAAGCCAACUUCAAGAUAAGAUUUCCCACCGCAAGGGUAAGACCCCAGAAAGACUAUCUGGUUGAUAGGUCGAAGGUGUAAGUGCAGCAAUGUAUUUAGCUUAUCGAUACUAAUAGGUCGAGGACUUGACCAA